RNAcentral lists this long non-coding RNA (693 nucleotides) under Hordeum vulgare. RNAcentral's name for it is "long non-coding RNA (HVUL_LNC017360)". The record is from RNAcentral. Lineage: Eukaryota; Viridiplantae; Streptophyta; Magnoliopsida; Poales; Poaceae.
UCGCCAUGGCAUGAAAUGCUAGGCGCCGUGGUCGUAGGUGUCGCGGUAGAGGAGGGGAGAAAACAACGGGCGCGUGCGGCGUGGGACCCUCGGUCUCCACGGCCGCCAGCCAUCCCCAGCCCCUCCGGCGGGGCUGCAGGCCUCCGCGCGAGAGGUGCGACGCUGGCCCCAAGGCCUCCUCCUUGGUGGGGCAUGGCAGCCGCCGAUGCGAGGAACAGGAGGGCCUUGCGGCCAGAGAGCUGUGGGAGCCCAUCGGCCACCACGACGAGCGCCCUGCAGGGAGCCACGCGAGGGGCUGCGGGAGCAGAGCCGCGCUAGGGAAAGAAAGGUGCGGUGCUGGGUUCCCAGGACCCUCCUCGGCGAGGCAUGGAAGCCGCCGGCGCGAGGGAGAGCUGCAGCCGUCGGCGCGAGACACUGCUGUCGCGACGCGCUCGGGGAAGGAGAGGACCGAGAGAGAGCGGCACUGUGGGAGGGAAAUGACGCUAGGGUUUCCCCUCCUGCCGGCUCCCCCCCAUUUUUGUUCUACCUAUGAGCGUGGGGAGCCGUUGGAUGAGCCUGAACGGCCAAGAUCUUCCCAGCGAAACCCUAUAUGACGGUCGGGCCUGUUGGGCUGCAUUCGCACCAGGCCCGGGGGAGAAAGGCCAGGCCACAGGCCGGCCCAGGCGAAGGCCUGAGGGAGGCGCGCCGCGCCAG